Homo sapiens (human) is the source of this 1170-nucleotide long non-coding RNA. Ensembl annotates it as long intergenic non-protein coding RNA 1141. The record is from Ensembl. Lineage: Eukaryota; Metazoa; Chordata; Mammalia; Primates; Hominidae.
GCAGGCAUCAAGAGAGCAUCCCAGCAGUGCCAUCACAACACAGGGCUCGAAUGUGGACAGGAGGAGGACCUAAGUGGACCCGGAGGCUGAGCUGGCCUCGCAGCACUGGUGGUGGGGGAGGGCUGAUGGUCAGGACUCUGGGUCUUUGGCACUGCUGCCUAGGCCGUGGCCCUCAGUCUGCCCAUCUGUGAAAUGAGGGGGAGCUGGUCCUGACUGCCUCCCAGGGACCCUGUGAAAAGCCGCUCUGAACUCCUUGCCAGAGAGGAGGUUUGCCGGUGCCACAAUCCAGCAUUUCUGGGGUUCACUCUGCUCUGGGUACUGUGUAAAGGACUCCACAGCCAUCAACUUCCCUUCAUCCUUGCCGUGUCUUUGAAAGACUGGAUGAUGAGAGGCACAGCUGAGUCCGGAGCAGACUGAGCCACCUAAGAGGGGAGGAACCGCUGCAGAGAAACCGUGUUAAGCCUUUUUGAAGUUCCAGAGGGAGAACAAGAGAGCGGAGGCUCCUGGUGGCUGGUGACAGGUGCUGAUUUGUUCUGGGGAAAGAGCACAGAAAAGUGCCUGGAGAGGAGGCGGGGCCAAAAUGGGAUGUAGGCGAUGGGAAGGACCCUCAAGACACAGUCCUGGGCUCCCAGGCAGGACCAACCCCCAAACCUGUCCCCCCAGGAGCCUGCAGAGCCACUGCCCUGACAGGGGACACCUCACUUCCUCUCCUUGCAGCUGCUCUUGGCUGGGAGAGCAGAGAACAGGGGACAGGAGAGAAGCCCCGAGAGUACUGAAGCUGAGGCUGGGGCGGUCUUCACUUCCCUCUUUCCUCGGCCCUUUUCCUGUUCUCUUGUCUUGUCUCUCUUUCUCUACUUUCCUUCUCCCUAGCCCAGUCUCUCACCGCUCUUCAGCCUCUGGGCCUUUCCUUCUUCCUCUCUUGCCCUCAUUCUUCCUUCUCUGUCCCUCUUGUCUUCUCUUUUACCUCUUCUCUUCUUCCCUCCUUCCUACAGCUAUGCCCUCUUCCCUCCUUUCUCUUGUCCCCAACCAGGGCAUUAGAAAUGCAUUCCAGUUACACUGAUCUGAUCACUGCAUAUUGUAUGCAUGCAUCAAAAUAUCACAUGUACCCCAGAAAUAUGUAAAUUACUGCAUAUCAAUAAAAAGAAAUGUAGCUUCUUUGCCUCACAUACA